RNAcentral lists this ribosomal RNA (1372 nucleotides) under uncultured bacterium. RNAcentral describes it as "bacterial SSU rRNA". It matches the Rfam family "Bacterial small subunit ribosomal RNA", at positions 28 to 1381 of the family's 1533-position model. The record is from RNAcentral.
GAUGAACGCUGGCGGCGUGCCUAAUACAUGCAAGUCGAGCGAACGGACGAGAAGCUUGCUUCUCUGAUGUUAGCGGCGGACGGGUGAGUAACACGUGGAUAACCUACCUAUAAGACUGGGAUAACUUCGGGAAACCGGAGCUAAUACCGGAUAAUAUUUUGAACCGCAUGGUUCAAAAGUGAAAGACGGUCUUGCUGUCACUUAUAGAUGGAUCCGCGCUGCAUUAGCUAGUUGGUAAGGUAACGGCUUACCAAGGCAACGAUGCAUAGCCGACCUGAGAGGGUGAUCGGCCACACUGGAACUGAGACACGGUCCAGACUCCUACGGGAGGCAGCAGUAGGGAAUCUUCCGCAAUGGACGAAAGCCUGACGGAGCAACGCCGCGUGAGUGAUGAAGGUCUUCGGAUCGUAAAACUCUGUUAUUAGGGAAGAACAUAUGUGUAAGUAACUGUGCACAUCUUGACGGUACCUAAUCAGAAAGCCACGGCUAACUACGUGCCAGCAGCCGCGGUAAUACGUAGGUGGCAAGCGUUAUCCGGAAUUAUUGGGCGUAAAGCGCGCGUAGGCGGUUUUUUAAGUCUGAUGUGAAAGCCCACGGCUCAACCGUGGAGGGUCAUUGGAAACUGGAAAACUUGAGUGCAGAAGAGGAAAGUGGAAUUCCAUGUGUAGCGGUGAAAUGCGCAGAGAUAUGGAGGAACACCAGUGGCGAAGGCGACUUUCUGGUCUGUAACUGACGCUGAUGUGCGAAAGCGUGGGGAUCAAACAGGAUUAGAUACCCUGGUAGUCCACGCCGUAAACGAUGAGUGCUAAGUGUUAGGGGGUUUCCGCCCCUUAGUGCUGCAGCUAACGCAUUAAGCACUCCGCCUGGGGAGUACGACCGCAAGGUUGAAACUCAAAGGAAUUGACGGGGACCCGCACAAGCGGUGGAGCAUGUGGUUUAAUUCGAAGCAACGCGAAGAACCUUACCAAAUCUUGACAUCCUUUGACAACUCUAGAGAUAGAGCUUUCCCCUUCGGGGGACAAAGUGACAGGUGGUGCAUGGUUGUCGUCAGCUCGUGUCGUGAGAUGUUGGGUUAAGUCCCGCAACGAGCGCAACCCUUAAGCUUAGUUGCCAUCAUUAAGUUGGGCACUCUAAGUUGACUGCCGGUGACAAACCGGAGGAAGGUGGGGAUGACGUCAAAUCAUCAUGCCCCUUAUGAUUUGGGCUACACACGUGCUACAAUGGACAAUACAAAGGGCAGCGAAACCGCGAGGUCAAGCAAAUCCCAUAAAGUUGUUCUCAGUUCGGACUGUAGUCUGCAACUCGACUACAUGAAGCUGGAAUCGCUAGUAAUCGUAGAUCAGCAUGCUACGGUGAAUACGUUCCCGGGUCU